Molecule: ribosomal RNA, 253 nt
Filed under: uncultured bacterium
Lineage: Bacteria
Description: partial 16S ribosomal RNA
Rfam family: Bacterial small subunit ribosomal RNA
Source: RNAcentral
UACGUAGGGGGCAAGCGUUGUCCGGAAUCAUUGGGCGUAAAGCGCGUGUAGGCGGCCUUGUAAGUCCGUUCUGAAAGUCCGGGGCUCAACCCCGGGAGGCGGAUGGAUACUGCAAGGCUCGAGUACGGAAGAGGCGAGUGGAAUUCCCGGUGUAGCGGUGAAAUGCGCAGAUAUCGGGAGGAACACCAGUGGCGAAGGCGACUACCUGGCCUGUUCUUGACGCUGAGGCGCGAAAGCUAGGGGAGCAAACGGG